UAAGAAAGAACAUGUAGGCUCAUAGAAGGGCUCUGGUUUAGAUACUAGGUGAACUAAUCAAACUUGAUAAUAAUGCAUGUUUA
RNAcentral lists this small RNA (83 nucleotides) under Arabidopsis thaliana (thale cress). RNAcentral describes it as "ATSL263810". The record is from RNAcentral. Lineage: Eukaryota; Viridiplantae; Streptophyta; Magnoliopsida; Brassicales; Brassicaceae.